AAAAAAAAAGAAAAAAAAAGAAAGUGCUGGAAGUUUGUUAGUACUGAUGUGAAGAAUGGACUAUAGAACGAGAGAAUAAGAGAACAAGGAGGAGAGAGAAGAAAAAAACUAAAAAAAAAAAAAAUAAAUGAACCCUGGAUCAUAGCAGGUGCUAGACUUGCUUGCAUGUUGUGCAGCGCAGGUGAAAGGAGAAGAAAAUAGAAGAAGAGAA
Molecule: unclassified non-coding RNA, 211 nt
Filed under: Hevea brasiliensis (rubber tree)
Lineage: Eukaryota; Viridiplantae; Streptophyta; Magnoliopsida; Malpighiales; Euphorbiaceae
Source: RNAcentral